This is a non-coding RNA of Paramuricea clavata, 563 nucleotides long. The record is from the annotation of a GenBank genome assembly. Lineage: Eukaryota; Metazoa; Cnidaria; Anthozoa; Malacalcyonacea; Plexauridae.
GCCGUUUAAAACAAAAGUUGCUCAUAAAACUAAAAGUUGCCAAAAAGUUGCCGAGCAACUUGUGGAAACCCCUACUCGAGUCCUGGCUCGAGUCCUGGCUGGAAUCCUGACUCGAGCAAUAGUAUAUCAGACUCUCAAUGUUAACAGCGAUGUCGCAGCGGUUUUACAAGCGAGGAAAAAUUUUAACUGUAAAUAUUUAAUGCACAAUAUAUUAAAACUAGUUUCAUUUUGAUGUUUUUGUACAAUUCAAGUACCUAAUGUUCAGCAAAUCACCAAACGAUAAUGUACCGAUCAAUUCGAAACUUCAUUAUCCCCCUCCCGGGCAUACCCCGGGAGUUUGACUUCAAAUCUUCUCCAGGGAGUAAGGAAUUUGACGUUCUAGGUCUUCCAAGUGGUGGGGCAUUUGAUAACGGGGUGGGGAAUUUGAACCGGAAGUCUUAAAAUUUUGCCCGUUUUCACGUGCUUUCUGCAUGCACAGAAAAUACUUCGCAUUGUUCCUGACUGUGAGGACAAGGUUCUUGACAGUGAGGACAAGAUUCCUGACAGUGAGGACAAGGUUCCUG